Non-coding RNA from Manis javanica (Malayan pangolin), 2704 nucleotides. Lineage: Eukaryota; Metazoa; Chordata; Mammalia; Pholidota; Manidae. The record is from RefSeq and is a predicted model, not a curated record.
AUGAUGAUAUGUCAAGUAAGAUGAGGACAAUAGGUAUCCUCUGAACUUUGGCAGUAUAGGAAUCGUGAUCUUUCUUGGAAAGAGUGGCUGCUGCAGAGUACUAGGACAGAGCCCACUUCUUCCAGGUUUAGGAAAGAAUGUGAGGAGAGGAGGUGGAGACACUGGUUAUUUCUCUCAUGGGACGUGACUCAUGGGAAAUGUGUGGUCCAUACAGGGGUUCCAAGCAAGGGCUCAGUACCUGGUAGGAGGUGUGAGGAUAAUGAACUGUUUUUUGAAACAUGUGAUCUAUUACAGUCCAUUGUAUGUCCCUGGAAUGAUCUGGUAGGGAGAGAAUAAUGGUUCAAGAGAGAAUGGCUGGUAAUUGUCAGAGCAAAUGCUAUCGGAAGCUGAGAGAGGAUGGGUCAGCUUUGGUCGUUAUCCUUAAGACAGAGCACUCCAGCUUAUCUGUUGUUCUAGGAGGAAAGAUAGGGUAUCAGCGAAAGGAAGCUAUGAAUUUGGUGGGAUUUGAGGUAGACUUCUGGUUGAUGACUUGUCUCUGAAGCCAGAGGAGAUAUCGGGGCGUUAGAGAGGAGAGGGGCAAAGUGACACUGGAGACAGUGGGGAAGCAGUGACGAGAAGAGCAUAGCUGCCAUGUGGGGCAGUACAAAGGACUCCCGCGGGCUUUGGGUCAUUUAUUUAAUAGAUAAAUUAACACCUAUGUAUAUAUUUUUUUCUCCAACUUCCUUCAGUUGCUUGAGUGUGACUGAGAAGGAAGUGGAAAAUAGAGUAGUUCUUUUUAGAUCAAUAUAGAAAUCUGUAAAGUUGACAAGGCAAUCAAAAGAUGCAUGGUGAUGAAACAUCCCAGAAUCUAGGGACAGUGGAGAGAAUGCCAGUGAAGGGCUCGUGGUCAGUGGACAGGUUGCAGUAAUUGCUGGAGUCCAGGUGCUGGAAUGAGCUGGAAAGGUGAUCAGAAAAUUGGAGGUCUGAAACAGAGAUUUUUGGAGGUGGUAAAUGACUUAGUCAUCAAUCUUGUAGGUGGAACAAGAAAAAUGGCUGGGAUUAAGGAGACUGGCAUAGAGACCUUCAGGUGUGUUGGCUCACUGAAUUGGAUCCUCUACGUGCAUAUUAAAAUGACCAAGAAUAAUGAUGGAAGAGCAUGUUGAAAGAAAGGUGAUUGGUCAUCAUCUUACUUUUAAAAGCAUCGUCAUAGGAGCGGGAGCAGGAGCCAUGAAGAAGGUGCACCCACAGGUUGGGAAGGUGCAUCAGCUGCAAGUUGUGAGGAUGAACAGAGCGGAGACCAUCGGAGAACAUGAGCCCACUAGGCUUGCAGUGCCAUGAAGGCACACAGAAAAUAUAGGGUUUUUAUUCUUCUCAUAUACUUGAAAUAGGUAAAAUUAUGUACAUGGAUAAACUUGAAAAAUUCCAAAUAGUACAGUAGACAUAGAGCCAUGGAUACAAGUGUCUGGAACAGAGCUUGGCUCAUAACUGCUGAACAGAUGGAUAACUCACUAUGCUGGCAACAGAUGCUUCCUCUGUAUUGCUGGUAGGAGUGGCAAAAUGAUACAAAAAUUAUGGAGAACUAUUAGAGAUGUAUACAUCCUAAAAGAGUCUCUCUCCACCCCAUCCUCUGGGCAAUCAAUGACUGUUAACAGCUUCUUGUGCCCCCAGGCAUUCUGUGCAAAGGCUCACAUCAUACACACUCGACGCAAGUGAAGGCAAAUAUUUUAACUUUGUUCUUUAUCUUUCCCUUUUCCAAAGCUUUUGCUUGACACCCAUACGUAUCCUCCUCCUUUUUAAUAGUUUUAUUAUAUUACACUAGUCCCCUCCUUCACAAUUCAGUGUUUUGUUAUCACAAACAUGACUGUGGUUAUAGUGUUUUAUAAGUGCCUGAGGUAUUUGUAGGAUUUAUUUUUAGAAAUAAUAAACUGCCAGGUAUAAGGUUGUAUACAUUUCUAAUUGUUUUCCAUGUUUGUAUCAUUUUGCCACUCCUACCAGCGAUUCAGAGGAAGCAUCUGCUGCCAGCAUAGAGAGUUACCCAUUCAUUCAGCAGUUAUGAGCCAAGCUGUGUCCAGACACUUGUAUUCAUGGCUGUAUAGAGGGAAAAAAAUGUGGAAAAAGAUCCUGCCAUCACGGAGCUUAUGUUCAGUAGGAGAUACAGGAUAAAUACAUUUCACAGUGUCCUGGGAGGGAAAAGUUCUACUAGGAGAAAAAAAAGAAAGUAAGGAAGGAUAGGAUGAUCCUCUUUGCUAGGUGGAGUUAUGUCCUUUCAUCAUGAUUUUAAAUAGGGUGCUCAGGGUAGGUGCCAUAUAAUGAGUUGCAAGAAAUUCAUAUUUUGUCAUUCAGAUGACCAAAUAUAUAUUUCCCAGAAGUAUUAGGUCUUCAUCCACAGUUCCUGAAACACUUCAAAGCCUUGGGGUUGAAGUGGGUGUCUCGUCAUGCUAAUGAGAGACUUUUAACCCCACCUAAGGGCUGGGGCUGGAGGUUGAAUCAUCGAUUGGCCAAUGAUUUAAUCAUGACUAUGCAGUGAUGCUGCUUUGCUUCUCUGUCAGAGAAAGCUUCCAUGCUUGGGGAACAGAACAUGUCCAUGUGCCACAGAGCCAGGUCACAAGCUCCCAAGGAUAGAUGUUCCCUUAUUUGGGACCUUGCCCUAUGUAUGUCUUCAUCUGGCUGUUAACUUGUAUCCUUUAUGAUAUCCUUUAUUAAACAGAGGAACUUGUUUUCUUGA